This 717-nucleotide ribosomal RNA is filed under the name uncultured Bacteroidota bacterium. Its description in RNAcentral is "bacterial SSU rRNA". It matches the Rfam family "Bacterial small subunit ribosomal RNA", at positions 87 to 802 of the family's 1533-position model. Lineage: Bacteria; Pseudomonadati; Bacteroidota. The record is from RNAcentral.
GCUGACGACCGGCGCACGGGUGCGUAACGCGUAUGCAAUCUACCUUUUACAGGGGGAUAGCCCAGAGAAAUUUGGAUUAAUACCUCAUAGUAUAUGGCCUUGGCAUCAAGGCCAUAUUAAAGAUUUAUCGGUAAAAGAUGAGCAUGCGUUCUAUUAGCUGGAUGGUAAGGUAACGGCUUACCAUGGCGACGAUAGAUAGGGGCCCUGAGAGGGGGAUCCCCCACACUGGUACUGAGACACGGACCAGACUCCUACGGGAGGCAGCAGUGAGGAAUAUUGGACAAUGGGCGGGAGCCUGAUCCAGCCAUGCCGCGUGCAGGAAGACUGCCCUAUGGGUUGUAAACUGCUUUUGUACAGGAAGAAACACUCCCUCGUGAGGGAGCUUGACGGUACUGUAAGAAUAAGGAUCGGCUAACUCCGUGCCAGCAGCCGCGGUAAUACGGAGGAUCCAAGCGUUAUCCGGAAUCAUUGGGUUUAAAGGGUCCGUAGGUGGAUGAUUAAGUCAGAGGUGAAAUCCUGCAGCUCAACUGUAGAAUUGCCUUUGAUACUGGUUGUCUUGAAUUAUUGUGAAGUAGUUAGAAUAUGUGGUGUAGCGGUGAAAUGCAUAGAUAUCACAUAGAAUACCGAUUGCGAAGGCGGAUUACUAACAAUACAUUGACACUGAUGGACGAAAGCGUGGGGAGCGAACAGGAUUAGAUACCCUGGUAGUCCACGCCG